UACGAAGGGUGCAAGCGUUGUUCGGCAUUAUUGGGCGUAAAGGGUUCGUAGGCGGAACCGUAAGUCAAGUGUGAAAUCCCCGAGCUUAACUUGGGACGUGCACUUGAAACUGCGAUUCUUGAGUAUUGGAGAGGGUAAUGGAAUUGUUGGUGUAGGAGUGACAUCCGUAGAGAUCAACAGGAACACCAGAGGCGAAGGCGAUUACCUGGCCGAAGACUGACGCUGAGGAACGAAAGUGCGGGGAGCAAACACG
RNAcentral lists this ribosomal RNA (253 nucleotides) under uncultured bacterium. RNAcentral describes it as "partial 16S ribosomal RNA". It matches the Rfam family "Bacterial small subunit ribosomal RNA", at positions 524 to 776 of the family's 1533-position model. The record is from RNAcentral.